Molecule: long non-coding RNA, 2810 nt
Filed under: Bemisia tabaci
Lineage: Eukaryota; Metazoa; Arthropoda; Insecta; Hemiptera; Aleyrodidae
Description: lncRNA ENSSSA1UGG004035
Source: RNAcentral
UAAAAUAGUACGAUAUGCUACGCAAGUGUCAACGGGGUAUCACAUUAAUUUCCCAUCAGAUUCCACCGGUUCAAAUAUUCUGUGCCGUACGAACUCGAAGGUGCAUAACGUCGGGCUGAGUAAUAAUUACCACGACAACAUGCGCACACGACUGGUGCGCGGUGCGGCGCGACGCCGUAGUGGAAUGAACUCAGAAAAGGUUAUAGUUAUUAUGAAGUCAAUGAAGUGAGAAGGGUUUUUGGUGUCGUGAAGCUCUCAAUCUUUUCCAGUCUUCGUCUCAUUUUCAUCCCUUAAGCAAAAUCGCUGGCUGUUCUGACGGAUCCACGGAAUUACCCUUUAUUAUUGAAGUGACCCAUCGGUUGGGAAGAUGCGGUUUUGGAUUUUACUGGGUCUCCUUACUUGUUUCAGUCCCUCCAGUUCAUUACGAGCAGGCAACAUGUCAGGACUAAGCAUGGUGAGCCCCGGCAUGCUAGGCCCCAGCAACAGUUUCCGUGAGCGAGCUCAGUCACUUUGGCGUACGAUGUCUAACCCUGUGCGCUCACGGAGUAGAGGAAGACGUUCGAUGAGCUUAGGACGAUCUGAUUCAGGAUCCCUCCCGCCGGCAAACUGGCCGGACCCGGAGCCGCUGACCCGAACCGCGAAUUAUCCAGCCGCGUCAGAGAGACGUUACCACAUGACAGCACAAACACCUUACGAAUCCCCAACCCGACUCAACACGCCGAACUCGCCGCACUUCCUAGAUUCACUCGUCUCAAACCUGAUCAGGGACAAUUUCGGAGGGUCAAACAUAGCAGAACGUUUAACGGGCAUCCAAAUGAGUCAACCGCGGCUCGUGGAAGACAUCCACUAUGUAGAUCCGCAUACAGGUAGUUCGUAUCAGAGGCAAAGCUGGAUAACGUCUUCAUCAAACCAGCCCCACGGAAUGGAGAGAAGAAGAGCAAGGGGUGAGUGGUCCGUAUAUACUCCAGUUCAGGAAGAGGACUCAGUGACGUUGGAACGAAGGCGCUCUUACAACGGAAGAAUGAGACGACGUCCGCGGGUUCCCCAUUUGUCUUACAACCCUUUGGCAUCACCUCAAGGGAUACUCAAUGAGCUGCCGCCGGGGUUGGAAGUGGUACCUUUUGAGACGGCUUUCAGACGCUGUUCACAGCGUCCGCGGGAAGGAAACAGAUCUUGCGAAGGAGGCGUAUGCUCAAGGCCCCAGAAUAAUGACCCACCUGACAUACCAACCAACGAUGACGAUCCAGACGCUUGUUGUAUUUGCAGCGCAAAUAAGAAAAACAUGCAGCUGGAGCCGUGCAAUCAUGAAGUAUGCAUGACAUGCACCCGGAAGAUGAAAUCGAAAGAGACCCCAUUACAGCCAUUUACCUGUCCGUUUUGCAGGGCGCAGGUCACCGGUUGGCAUCCGAAACCAUAAUAGAGCGACAUUGUAUACCCUAAGAAAAAGUUCAUUUGUAUGACAAGUUAUUUAACUGGACGUUGGCAUAAAGUGGUAGGUAUUAUUGCCAGCUGGUGAGCUUGAAUAAACGUAAAAAUAAAUAUCUAAAUAAAUGAAUAAAUAAACUGUCGGGAUGCCGAUUGCUGCGGUCGGAAAGUACGUUCCUCUAACUGCGACAAUUAAAAUUUCCGUUCGUGUUUUAAUUUUUGAAAAAUAAUUUUUUUUCACGUGCUGUGAUAAAUGUUCGCAAAAAAGUUAGUAGUUAUUCGGAUAGUUUUCCUUCUACAAAAUUAAAAUAUCAUGGUAAAUUUUAAAUCAUUGCUGUAGAGAUACGAUUUUUUUUAUUCUAGUCAUCGAUUAACGAACUGUAAAAUCCUUUUUGCUCUUCUUUAGGCAAAAUUUACGUAUUUUGCGUAAAAAUUAAAAUUGUGGAAAAAACCAGUGCUUAUCGAAAGCUGAUAUUCAUGUAUAACGCUAAAUAAACGACAUUAUAUGCAGCAACAAUAAAAAGCCUAAAAAUUUCGUGAUAGGAUUGUCCACUUUUCCAAAAUAAGUAAAAUAAUAAAAAAAAAAUAUAAUAAUAAUAAUUUGUACGGUGGCGUGUUUGCGUUAAAAUGGACUAAAUAGUCUCCUUGUGUUUUAACAGUUUUUUGGAGAGGAGAUUUGCUCAUUUAAAAUUAACGGUGCGGGGUCUUUUGGCUUGAAUGUGGUCAGCAGAGGGUUUUUUCCUUCCUAUUAGAGGUUCAAAGUAAGGAAAAAAGAUAGUGAAAGAAAAGGAAAAAGACGAAUUAGGCUUUGAAUCUACGUAUAUUUGUAGUUAAGUGGCAGGAAAAACCGCUCUGAUAUGUACUGAUGAGUAGUUUACGUUAUAUGUUUUUAAAAACAAUUUUGCUUUGGCCGUGAUUCCUACAUUGAUAUAAAGAGUUCUAGCUUGUUUUUCUCCGAGCGCGAGUUGUACAUUACUUUUCCAUUAUAGUUUUACAAUCACUAAAAAAUAAAAUAACUUGUACUUAGCUUACGCUUGAAAAUGUGUAUAUAGAGUCAAAAUAUUUGCCUUACUCGAACAUCAGAGUUAUCAUGUUACUGCCUCUGCUAUGUUGUAUAUGAGGAUUUAACUCAACAUGUUCACUCGUGAAUAGCCAGUGUACAUCAGCAGAAAUUUUACUCACAUCAUUAAAGAUCAUCUUCUGAUAUCAAUAGAGAUAUUCUUAUCACAGUAAUACAACUUUUUUUUUUAAAAAAAAGAGUUCCUAUUUUUAUUGAAAAAUAUUUGAAAGUGCCACUUCAAAAACUGCCCAUCCCAGAAAAAAUGACAAUUCUGUUUAUUUGCAGAGCAUAUACUUUAAGGGUAAUACACAUUAGUACUUAGCUA